This 671-nucleotide ribosomal RNA is filed under the name uncultured bacterium. RNAcentral describes it as "bacterial SSU rRNA". It matches the Rfam family "Bacterial small subunit ribosomal RNA", at positions 51 to 718 of the family's 1533-position model. The record is from RNAcentral.
ACACAUGCAGUCGAGCGGAUGACAGGAGCUUGCUCCUGAAUUCAGAGGCGGACGGGUGAGUAAUGCCUAGGAAUCUGCCUGGUAGUGGGGGACAACGUUUCGAAAGGAACGCUAAUACCGCAUACGUCCUACGGGAGAAAGCAGGGGACCUUCGGGCCUUGCGCUAUCAGAUGAGCCUAGGUCGGAUUAGCUAGUUGGUGAGGUAAUGGCUCACCAAGGCGACGAUCCGUAACUGGUCUGAGAGGAUGAUCAGUCACACUGGAACUGAGACACGGUCCAGACUCCUACGGGAGGCAGCAGUGGGGAAUAUUGGACAAUGGGCGAAAGCCUGAUCCAGCCAUGCCGCGUGUGUGAAGAAGGUCUUCGGAUUGUAAAGCACUUUAAGUUGGGAGGAAGGGCAUUAACCUAAUACGUUAGUGUUUUGACGUUACCGACCGAAUAAGCACCGGCUAACUCUGUGCCAGCAGCCGCGGUAAUACAGAGGGUGCAAGCGUUAAUCGGAAUUACUGGGCGUAAAGCGCGCGUAGGUGGUUUGUUAAGUUGGAUGUGAAAUCCCCGGGCUCAACCUGGGAACUGCAUUCAAAACUGACAAGCUAGAGUAUGGUAGAGGGUGGUGGAAUUUCCUGUGUAGCGGUGAAAUGCGUAGAUAUAGGAAGGAACACCAGUGGCGA